AAGGCUUAUUUACUAGGGCUUCCCGUUCCAGAGGAGCGCAUCGUGGUAGCAGAAGGCGGAGAACUCACAUCUCAAACCGCAAGUAGGAAGCAGAGAGCUGUGUGAGGCUUCUGAGUCCCCCAAGCCUACCAGCAGGGGCAUUCUGCCAUCAAGGCCACAGCUCCUAACCUACCCAAACAUUGCCAUCAUCUGGACAAGAAAUGUUGCUGACUUGAGAUGAGACAACUUUACCAUCCACCACCUCCUCUAUGAUGGUCUUGGUCACCCUUGUCUUGCUGGGAUCUGAAAAUCAUGAGAUGACAAGACAGAGCCUCCCUCACAGGGUCCAGCAAAUUUCAUUUCCUGCCUCUCCUUCCAACACCACCUACUCAGAGAGCCUCCAAGAAGAAAAAACACCCAAACCUGGCUCUCACUAAGUGGUCAGCAAGGCCCAGGACAUUCUGUUGGCAUUCCUUCUAGGUAUUGACCAACAGUUACCUGGCAACAACCAGUACAGAAGAUAUGGACUGUAAAAACAACGGCUUUGUGGUCAAGUGACCACUUCCGAAGGAUGCUGUGUGCCUGAAAGUGGGUAAUGACAGCCAGCCGCUGAUCUUAGAAGCCUGAUUGUUCUGGAAAGCGAGAUUCCCACCUCCACCCCCCCGCCCCUCUGCAUCCCAGUCGUGAGAAAAUGGACACAAGAACAAAGGUGAAUAACUCAGGUCAGCGUUGGCUUCCUGCAGUGCUUGCACGUUAUCCAGGUAGGAGGCCAGGCGGUCGUUGAGGUUCUGCAUGGUCACCUUCUCAUUGCCGGAGAGUAGGCCCCCCUCAUUCACAGUGAAGCCAACACAGGAGUUGGCCACCCCGGUGUUCCCUCCUGUGGAGCUGCCCCCAAAGGCGCAGGAGAAGCCACUUCCAAUGCCUGCCACGCCACAUGCAUUUCCAGCUCCAAAGCUGGCUCCCCUGAGCGAUCCUGUGCUGGGACGAGCAUAGGACCUCCUGGAUCCACUGGAAAGGCGAAGAGACAUGAUCUUGGGGCAAGCGUGACGCAGAACUGUGUUCUUGAAAGUCAGAAUAGAGUGCCUUCUGACCCCGA
Long non-coding RNA from Mastomys coucha (southern multimammate mouse), 1075 nucleotides. RefSeq lists it as uncharacterized. The record is from RefSeq and is a predicted model, not a curated record. The transcript has 6 exons. NCBI's taxonomy places the organism in Eukaryota, Metazoa, Chordata, Mammalia, Rodentia, Muridae.